Molecule: ribosomal RNA, 475 nt
Filed under: uncultured bacterium
Lineage: Bacteria
Description: SSU rRNA
Rfam family: Bacterial small subunit ribosomal RNA
Source: RNAcentral
AGGACGAACGCUGGCGGCGUGCUUAACACAUGCAAGUCGAGCGGAAAGGCCCUUCGGGGUACUCGAGCGGCGAACGGGUGAGUAACACGUGAGCAACCUGCCCCUGGCUCUGGGAUAGCCUCCGGAAACGGGGAUUAAUACCGGAUAUUCACUGUCUCCUGCAUGGGGGGUGGUGGAAAGUUUUUCGGCUAGGGUGGGGCUCGCGGCCUAUCAGCUUGUUGGGGGGGUGACGGCCCACCAAGGCGACGACGGGUAGCCGGCCUGAGAGGGCGACCGGCCACACUGGGACUGAGACACGGCCCAGACUCCUACGGGAGGCAGCAGUGGGGAAUAUUGCGCAAUGGGCGGAAGCCUGACGCAGCGACGCCGCGUGCGGGAUGAAGGCCUUCGGGUUGUAAACCGCUUUCACCAGGGACGAAGCGGAAGUGACGGUACCUGGGGAAGAAGCGCCGGCUAACUACGUGCCAGCAGCCGC